Molecule: ribosomal RNA, 114 nt
Filed under: Staphylococcus aureus subsp. aureus MN8
Lineage: Bacteria; Bacillati; Bacillota; Bacilli; Caryophanales; Staphylococcaceae
Source: RNAcentral
UGGUGACUAUAGCAAGGAGGUCACACCUGUUCCCAUACCGAACACAGAAGUUAAGCUCCUUAGCGUCGAUGGUAGUCGAACUUACGUUCCGCUAGAGUAGAACGUUUCCAGGCA